Long non-coding RNA from Venturia canescens, 2119 nucleotides. RefSeq lists it as uncharacterized. NCBI's taxonomy places the organism in Eukaryota, Metazoa, Arthropoda, Insecta, Hymenoptera, Ichneumonidae. The record is from RefSeq and is a predicted model, not a curated record. The transcript is spliced from 2 exons.
CGACUAAUUUUAUUUUUAAACGCUCCGGUCGAGCCUCCGCGCAACAACCAAUAGCAGGUGUAUCUCUUGUUCGCUAUAUAUCAAUAUACAUCCAUGUGCCCAACGCCACUGCCAUUAUUUACAUCAUGUGCGAUUGUCGCUCUUUAAUAAAAACUAACACGUGGUGGAAAACUUCAUGUUGACUCAAUGAACAUGUUUUUAUUAAUGCGUACUCUUCACUUUUCUUCUACCCUCAUCAACGUUUUUAGUCCGUGAUAUUCGAUAUUUUGCGUUUCGCGUUUCACCGCAGCAGACGUAACUGAAAAUUUUAUCGUUAUUUUUCGACGCACGACGUAACGAAUUACACAAACGCGUAGCGUCGACUGGCAAUCCCGGGCACUGCUUUAUCGACCUACGCAACAGUCAAAACUUUUUCUUCGCCUGUGCUUUUACUGCUCCAGUGCGCGCAUUAUUUACUCGUAUUUUCUUAUCGGAAACGUAUGUGUGUAUGCGUGUGUGAGUAUGUGAGAAAUUCAAUACGAACAGUCGGACAGACAUGUGGAUAAAUUGAAUUGUUUUCGAAGCGAAACCACCGAUUUGGGUACACAUACCGUGCUGUCAUAACCGUGUUCUUCAACCGCGACAUGAAAAGAAGAUCGCGUGCAUGUGAGUGUUAUUUAUCUUCUCUACAUGCAGUGAUUUUUGCUGAUCCGUAUAAGAUUGUUCUGUGUGAUACACCGUGAAAAAAAACGAGUUACUUUAAAUUAUAUAUGCAUUCGUAAGUCUUGGUUCACUGCUGCUCAUACUCUGCUCGUAAUCACUGUUUUCCAUGGCAUCUAAACAAAGAAAUUGGUUUUUUCCGGAGCUCGAUAGCCUCGCAAUUCCGAGGAACAUUGGAAUUUUCAAUAUUAUGAUUAUUCGAAAAAUUAGAUGAUGAUUAGGAUGAAAGAAACGCGACGAUUGCAAAAAAGAUUUGUGCAUGUUGGGAUCGCAAAAUUCUUUUUAAAUCUACUUUUUUUGUUUCUCGAAUGUAAAUUAUUUCAUUAUCGAAAAGAAAAACAUUUCUGUGCUUCAAUUCAUAUUUCUUACAACGAAUUGUUCCGAUAACUUCCACAAAUGGUUUUUGAUAAUGAUUCAAAGACAAACCUCCGGUUCAAACGAAUACUCAGACCAUAAAUUGAUGACGAAAUUUCUUACGAACAACGAGAAAUAAUCAAAGAAAAAAACUCCGAUGGUGAGCCACGCAUUUUGUAUCGACCCUAUUUUUUCUCGUUUCUUUCGCGAUUUACAUCAAUGACGGACGCAUUCUAUGGAAUCUCCGAGCAUUAUAAGUCCGAUGCUCGCGCUCGUUGACGCGCAUAUAAUUUAUCAAUUGCGUAACUAAAUGGAAAUUAAAGAGUCAAAGACACGGUCAAUGGCAAACGGAGGUCAAACGUCUAGGCGCGUAGGAAGAGAAAACACUUUUCGUGAGCAGUCAGAUCAUUUGUCAACAUUUUAAGGAUGUAUGUAUAUAAGGUCAAUUUCGCAGUACAUUUAUUUAUUUUUUAAGGUUAUGUUUUAUGUUAAAAUGUCAAUGGUGAAUCAUUUCUGUUUGCAUUUUAUAAUUUUUAAUAAAAAAACUAUGUCAUUUUGAAUCAUAAUUUACGAUUUUUACUAAAAUUAAUAUCCAAUUUGAUAACUGUGAUCAAGCACAAGCGAGCCAAUCAAAUUACAUGUCCAAUAUGGCGGACGUACUAACUACAGAAUGCCGCUGAAACGUAAAAAGUUAACCCCAAAUAUCUCCACAACGACGACGCCUGUACCCGAAACUUCUUAAUUCUUAAAUAUUUCUUUCAAAUUCAUGGAAAGUUUGACACGCCGAUAUUUUUUACAUACAUCCUUAAUUCCAUUUGUAGAUAAAAAUAUUUCGUAGUUUUCCUCAAACACUCCUUAAAUACGAUAACAACAUUUCGUAAUUGUGAAUCAUUUUCCCGUCUACCAGUUUUGAAUUUAGUGAUUCAAUGAAAAAUUCAUUUGUAUUAUUGAUAAACUACAAUUUAGGUUAGCUAAUUGUAAGUGACAGUUUAUUAUUAUUUUAUUUUAUACGUAAAAAUGUGAUGAAAAUAAAGACAGCAAACCCUGAGUCGAUUAGUAUCCUCAA